Molecule: ribosomal RNA, 892 nt
Filed under: Lasionectria cerealis
Lineage: Eukaryota; Fungi; Ascomycota; Sordariomycetes; Hypocreales; Nectriaceae
Description: LSU rRNA
Rfam family: Eukaryotic large subunit ribosomal RNA
Source: RNAcentral
GCAUAUCAUAAGCGGAGGAAAAGAAACCAACAGGGAUUGCCUCAGUAACGGCGAGUGAAGCGGCAACAGCUCAAAUUUGAAAUCUGGCUCUCGGGCCCGAGUUGUAAUUUGCAGAGGAUGUUUCUGGCGAGGUGCCUUCCGAGUUCCCUGGAACGGGACGCCAUAGAGGGUGAGAGCCCCGUCCGGUUGGUCGCUAAGCCUCUGUGAAACUCCUUCGACGAGUCGAGUAGUUUGGGAAUGCUGCUCUAAAUGGGAGGUAUACGUCUUCUAAAGCUAAAUACCGGCCAGAGACCGAUAGCGCACAAGUAGAGUGAUCGAAAGAUGAAAAGCACUUUGAAAAGAGGGUUAAAUAGUACGUGAAAUUGUUGAAAGGGAAGCGUUUAUGACCAGACUUGGGCCGGUUGAUCAUCCAUCGUUCUCGGUGGUGCACUCUGCCGGCUCAGGCCAGCAUCAGUUUGGCUUGGGGGAUAAAGGUUUCGGGAAUGUGGCUCCCUCGGGAGUGUUAUAGCCCGUUGCGUAAUACCCUGGGCUAGACUGAGGUUCGCGCUCCGCAAGGAUGCUGGCGUAAUGGUCAUCAGCGACCCGUCUUGAAACACGGACCAAGGAGUCGUCUUCGUAUGCGAGUGUUCGGGUGUCAAACCCCUACGCGUAAUGAAAGUGAACGUAGGAGAGAGCUUCGGCGCAUCUCCGACCGAUCCUGAUGUUCUCGGAUGGAUUUGAGUAAGAGCAUACGGGGCCGGACCCGAAAGAAGGUGAACUAUGCCUGUAUAGGGUGAAGCCAGAGGAAACUCUGGUGGAGGCUCGCAGCGGUUCUGACGUGCAAAUCGAUCGUCAAAUAUGGGCAUGGGGGGCGAAAGACUAAUCGAACCUUCUAGUAGCUGGUUUCCGCCGA